RNAcentral lists this ribosomal RNA (497 nucleotides) under uncultured bacterium. RNAcentral's name for it is "partial 16S ribosomal RNA". It matches the Rfam family "Bacterial small subunit ribosomal RNA", at positions 28 to 507 of the family's 1533-position model. The record is from RNAcentral.
GAUGAACGCUGGCGGCGUGCCUAAUACAUGCAAGUCGAGCGAACAGACGAGGAGCUUGCUCCUCUGACGUUAGCGGCGGACGGGUGAGUAACACGUGGAUAACCUACCUAUAAGACUGGGAUAACUUCGGGAAACCGGAGCUAAUACCGGAUAAUAUAUUGAACCGCAUGGUUCAAUAGUGUAAGACGGUUUUGCUGUCACUUAUAGAUGGAUCCGCGCCGCAUUAGCUAGUUGGUAAGGUAACGGCUUACCAAGGCGACGAUGCGUAGCCGACCUGAGAGGGUGAUCGGCCACACUGGAACUGAGACACGGUCCAGACUCCUACGGGAGGCGGCAGUAGGGAAUCUUCCGCAAUGGGCGAAAGCCUGACGGAGCAACGCCGCGUGAGUGAUGAAGGUCUUCGGAUCGUAAAACUCUGUUAUUAGGGAAGAACAAAUGUGUAAGUAACUAUGCACGUCUUGACGGUACCUAAUCAGAAAGCCACGGCUAACUACGUG